AUCAUCCCCGCCGCGGCCACUAUCCCACCAACCGACUAUGGGGUACAGUGGCACACACACGCACUAUAGCGAAAAACGCAAAAGGUGCAAACUAGAUAACAACAAAAUAGACCACACUCGAAAUGCUAGCAAAAAUACGUAAAAAGGUGCGCAAAGUAAGCAAGAGAGCGGGAGGUACCAACUCCCGAUGGAAAAACCUGAAAGUGUGCUUUGAUGCGCCCAAGUUUUCCUGAAGCUUAGCAGAACGUGCAGCUCUAUUGCGUCCUGCCGCGAGUCUGAACGAGAGUUGCCGGAGAUCCUCACCGGUGAAAUAGGCACCUGUCCAAGAAAACAGAACACACCCACAAAAGCAGAGGAAAGACUAAAAAGGAAAAGUGCAGGGGUUGCCAGAAAAAUUUUCGGCGGAAACAAAAAUUCCAGACCUCUGGACAGCACCGAGAUCUGCUGUGGGUAAGCAGUGAGAAAAAUGAGGUGGCUAAGUGGACAGUGUAAAAUGAAAGUGACCAGGGGAAUAUUCCGGGAGUACCAAGUUGGUCGGAAUGAGAGUUGCCGGAGAUCCUCACCGGCGAAAUAGGCACCUGUCCAAUAAAACAGAACACACCCACAAAAGCAGAGGAGAGACUAAAAAGGAAAAGGAGAAGUGCAGGGGUUGCCAGAAAAAUUUCCGGCCGAAACAAAAUUCCAGACCUCUGGACAGCACCGAGAUCUGCUGUGGGUAAGCAGUGAGAAAAAUGAGGUGGCUAAGUGGACAGUGUAAAAUGAAAGUGACCAGGGGAAUAUUCCGGGAUUACCAAGUUGUUCGGAAUUGUGGGGGGGAAAAACUGUCCAAAAGGAGCCGGUCGAAAAAGUGACCAGAGAAGGGCUCACGCUCGUGGCGCGUGGAUGUCACUGGCGGCGCGUGGGUGGUCAGCGGCGGCGCGUGAGGCAGAUUCCGGCGACGAAAUUUGCAGGGGGUGUGCGCCUGACGUUGUGUGUCUCGGUGGUGUAGGAGGUGUCGAAGAAAGACCGCCNNN
Molecule: long non-coding RNA, 1013 nt
Filed under: Nicotiana benthamiana
Lineage: Eukaryota; Viridiplantae; Streptophyta; Magnoliopsida; Solanales; Solanaceae
Description: long non-coding RNA (NBEN_LNC012924)
Source: RNAcentral